AUUGAACGCUGGCGGCAGGGUUAACACAUGCAGGUCGAGCGGGGGAAGGUAGCUUGCUACCGGACCUAGCGGCGGACGGGUGAGUAAUGCUUAGGAAUCUGCCUAUUAGUGGGGGACAACAUCGCGAAAGGGAUGCUAAUACCGCAUACGUCCUACGGGAGAAAGCAGGGGAUCUUCGGACCUUGCGCUAAUAGAUGAGCCUAAGUCGGAUUAGCUAGUUGGUGGGGUAAAGGCCUACCAAGGCGACGAUCUGUAGCGGGUCUGAGAGGAUGAUCCGCCACACUGGGACUGAGACACGGCCCAGACUCCUACGGGAGGCAGCAGUGGGGAAUAUUGGACAAUGGGGGGAACCCUGAUCCAGCCAUGCCGCGUGUGUGAAGAAGGCCUUAUGGUUGUAAAGCACUUUAAGCGAGGAGGAGGCUACUCUAGUUAAUACCUAGGGAUAGUGGACGUUACUCGCAGAAUAAGCACCGGCUAACUCUGUGCCAGCCGCCGCAGUAA
Molecule: ribosomal RNA, 501 nt
Filed under: uncultured bacterium
Lineage: Bacteria
Description: partial 16S ribosomal RNA
Rfam family: Bacterial small subunit ribosomal RNA
Source: RNAcentral